AGGAUGAACGCUGGCGGCGUGCUUAACACAUGCAAGUCGAACGGUGAAGGAGAGCUUGCUCUCCGGAUCAGUGGCGAACGGGUGAGUAACACGUGAGCAAUCUGCCCCUGACUCUGGGAUAAGCGUUGGAAACGACGUCUAAUACCGGAUACGAGCUGCGAAGGCAUCUUCAGCAGCUGGAAAGAACUUCGGUCAGGGAUGAGCUCGCGGCCUAUCAGCUAGUUGGUGAGGUAAUGGCUCACCAAGGCGUCGACGGGUAGCCGGCCUGGAGAGGGUGACCGGCCACACUGGGACUGAGACACGGCCAGACUCCUACGGGAGGCAGCAGUGGGGAAUAUUGGCACAAGUGGCGCAAGCCUGAUGCGAGCAACGGCCGCGUAGAGGACGACGGCCGUUCGGUUCGUAACCGUUCUUUAGUCGAGGAAGGAAGACGAAGUAGACGGUAC
Molecule: ribosomal RNA, 446 nt
Filed under: uncultured soil bacterium
Lineage: Bacteria
Description: bacterial SSU rRNA
Rfam family: Bacterial small subunit ribosomal RNA
Source: RNAcentral